Molecule: ribosomal RNA, 254 nt
Filed under: uncultured bacterium
Lineage: Bacteria
Description: partial 16S ribosomal RNA
Rfam family: Bacterial small subunit ribosomal RNA
Source: RNAcentral
UACGUAGGGGGCAAGCGUUGUCCGGAUUUAUUGGGCGUAAAGGGCGCGUAGGUGGCCCGGUCAGUUCGUGGUGAAAGCGCGGGGCUCAACCCUGCGUCGGCCAUGAAUACUGCCGCGGCUGGAGCACUGUAGAGGCAGGCGGAAUUCCGGGUGUAGCGGUGGAAUGCGUAGAGAUCCGGAAGAACACCGGUGGCGAAGGCGGCCUGCUGGGCAGUUGCUGACACUGAGGCGCGACAGCGUGGGGAGCAAACAGG